UGUUUCGGCUAGGGGGCCAUCCCGGCUUACCAACCCGAUGCAAACUGCGAAUACCGGAGAAUGUUAUCACGGGAGACACACGGCGGGUGCUAACGUCCGUCGUGAAGAGGGAAACAACCCAGACCGCCAGCUAAGGUCCCAAAGUCAUGGUUAAGUGGGAAACGAUGUGGGAAGGCCCAGACAGCCAGGAUGUUGGCUUAGAAGCAGCCAUCAUUUAAAGAAAGCGUAAUAGCUCACUGGUCGAGUCGGCCUGCGCGGAAGAUGUAACGGGGCUAAACCAUGCACCGAAGCUGCGGCAGCGAACGUAUCACUUAAAGCGAUUCAGCGGAUGACGAUUGACGGAGCGAAGCGACGUCAAAGCGUAUACAAAGUCGAGUCGGUUUAAGGAUACGUUCGUUGGGUAGGGGAGCGUUCUGUAAGCCUGUGAAGGUGGCCUGUGAGGGUUGCUGGAGGUAUCAGAAGUGCGAAUGCUGACAUAAGUAACGAUAAAGCGGGUGAAAAGCCCGCUCGCCGGAAGACCAAGGGUUCCUGUCCAACGUUAAUCGGGGCAGGGUGAGUCGACCCCUAAGGCGAGGCCGAAAGGCGUAGUCGAUGGGAAACAGGUUAAUAUUCCUGUACUUGGUGUUACUGCGAAGGGGGGACGGAGAAGGCUAUGUUGGCCGGGCGACGGUUGUCCCGGUUUAAGCGUGUAGGCUGGUUUUCCAGGCAAAUCCGGAAAAUCAAGGCUGAGGCGUGAUGACGAGGCACUACGGUGCUGAAGCAACAAAUGCCCUGCUUCCAGGAAAAGCCUCUAAGCAUCAGGUAACAUCAAAUCGUACCCCAAACCGACACAGGUGGUCAGGUAGAGAAUACCAAGGCGCUUGAGAGAACUCGGGUGAAGGAACUAGGCAAAAUGGUGCCGUAACUUCGGGAGAAGGCACGCUGACACGUAGGUGAAGUGAUUUACUCAUGGAGCUGAAGUCAGUCGAAGAUACCAGCUGGCUGCAACUGUUUAUUAAAAACACAGCACUGUGCAAACACGAAAGUGGACGUAUACGGUGUGACGCCUGCCCGGUGCCGGAAGGUUAAUUGAUGGGGUCAGCGCAAGCGAAGCUCCUGAUCGAAGCCCCGGUAAACGGCGGCCGUAACUAUAACGGUCCUAAGGUAGCGAAAUUCCUUGUCGGGUAAGUUCCGACCUGCACGAAUGGCGUAAUGAUGGCCAGGCUGUCUCCACCCGAGACUCAGUGAAAUUGAACUCGCUGUGAAGAUGCAGUGUACCCGCGGCAAGACGGAAAGACCCCGUGAACCUUUACUAUAGCUUGACACUGAACAUUGAGCCUUGAUGUGUAGGAUAGGUGGGAGGCUUUGAAGUGUGGACGCCAGUCUGCAUGGAGCCGACCUUGAAAUACCACCCUUUAAUGUUUGAUGUUCUAACGUGGACCCGUAAUCCGGGUUGCGGACAGUGUCUGGUGGGUAGUUUGACUGGGGCGGUCUCCUCCUAAAGAGUAACGGAGGAGCACGAAGGUUGGCUAAUCCUGGUCGGACAUCAGGAGGUUAGUGCAAUGGCAUAAGCCAGCUUGACUGCGAGCGUGACGGCGCGAGCAGGUGCGAAAGCAGGUCAUAGUGAUCCGGUGGUUCUGAAUGGAAGGGCCAUCGCUCAACGGAUAAAAGGUACUCCGGGGAUAACAGGCUGAUACCGCCCAAGAGUUCAUAUCGACGGCGGUGUUUGGCACCUCGAUGUCGGCUCAUCACAUCCUGGGGCUGAAGUAGGUCCCAAGGGUAUGGCUGUUCGCCAUUUAAAGUGGUACGCGAGCUGGGUUUAGAACGUCGUGAGACAGUUCGGUCCCUAUCUGCCGUGGGCGCUGGAGAACUGAGGGGGGCUGCUCCUAGUACGAGAGGACCGGAGUGGACGCAUCACUGGUGUUCGGGUUGUCAUGCCAAUGGCACUGCCCGGUAGCUAAAUGCGGAAGAGAUAAGUGCUGAAAGCAUCUAAGCACGAAACUUGCCCCGAGAUGAGUUCUCCCUGAGACUUAGAGUCUCCUGAAGGAACGUUGAAGACGACGACGUUGAUAGGCCGGGUGUGUAAGCGCAGCGAUGCGUUGAGCUAACCGGUACUAAUGAACCGUGAG
RNAcentral lists this ribosomal RNA (2108 nucleotides) under Salmonella enterica subsp. enterica serovar Kentucky. RNAcentral's name for it is "partial 23S ribosomal RNA". It matches the Rfam family "Bacterial large subunit ribosomal RNA", at positions 911 to 2915 of the family's 2925-position model. The record is from RNAcentral. Lineage: Bacteria; Pseudomonadati; Pseudomonadota; Gammaproteobacteria; Enterobacterales; Enterobacteriaceae.